GGGGCGGUAGCUCAGUGGUCAGAGCAGGGGACUCAUAAUCCCUGGGUCGUGGGUUCGAUCCCCACCCGCCCCAC
RNAcentral lists this transfer RNA (74 nucleotides) under freshwater metagenome. RNAcentral's name for it is "tRNA-Met". It matches the Rfam family "tRNA". From Rfam's summary of the family: Transfer RNA (tRNA) molecules are approximately 80 nucleotides in length. Their secondary structure includes four short double-helical elements and three loops (D, anti-codon, and T loops). Further hydrogen bonds mediate the characteristic L-shaped molecular structure. tRNAs have two regions of fundamental functional importance: the anti-codon, which is responsible for specific mRNA codon recognition, and the 3' end, to which the tRNAs corresponding amino acid is attached (by aminoacyl-tRNA synthetases). tRNAs cope with the degeneracy of the genetic code in two manners: having more than one tRNA (with a specific anti-codon) for a particular amino acid; and 'wobble' base-pairing, i.e. permitting non-standard base-pairing at the 3rd anti-codon position. The record is from RNAcentral.